GACGAACGCUGGCGGCGUGCUUAACACAUGCAAGUCGAACGGAAAGGCCCUGCUUUUGUGGGGUGCUCGAGUGGCGAACGGGUGAGUAACACGUGAGUAACCUGCCCUUGACUUUGGGAUAACUUCAGGAAACUGGGGCAAAUACCGGAUAGGAGCUCCUGCGGCAGGGAGGGGGUGGGAAAGUUUCGGCGGGCGGGGAUUGACUCGCGGCUUAUAAGAUUGUUGGUGGGGGAGUGGCUUACCAAGGCUUUGACGGGUAGCCGGCCUGAGAGGGUGACCGGCCACAAUGGGACUGAGGUACGGCCCAGACUCCUACGGGAGGCAGCAGUGGGGAAUAUUGCCCAAUGGGCCGAAGCCUGAUGCGGCAACGCCGCGUUCGUGAUGCCGGCCUUCGGGUUGUAAACCGCUUUCGCCUGUGACGAAGCGUGAGUGACGGUAAUGGGUGAAGAAGCACCGGCUAACUACGUG
This 468-nucleotide ribosomal RNA is filed under the name uncultured bacterium. Its description in RNAcentral is "partial 16S ribosomal RNA". It matches the Rfam family "Bacterial small subunit ribosomal RNA", at positions 28 to 507 of the family's 1533-position model. The record is from RNAcentral.